RNAcentral lists this ribosomal RNA (1018 nucleotides) under uncultured organism. RNAcentral's name for it is "bacterial SSU rRNA". It matches the Rfam family "Bacterial small subunit ribosomal RNA", at positions 355 to 1375 of the family's 1533-position model. The record is from RNAcentral.
UGAGGAAUAUUGGUCAAUGGACGAGAGUCUGAACCAGCCAAGUCGCGUGAGGGAAGACUGCCCUAUGGGUUGUAAACCUCUUUUAUAAGGGAAGAAUAAGUUCUACGUGUAGAAUGAUGCCUGUACCUUAUGAAUAAGCAUCGGCUAACUCCGUGCCAGCAGCCGCGGUAAUACGGAGGAUGCGAGCGUUAUCCGGAUUUAUUGGGUUUAAAGGGUGCGUAGGCGGUUUAUUAAGUUAGUGGUUAAAUAUUUGAGCUAAACUCAAUUGUGCCAUUAAUACUGGUAAACUGGAGUACAGACGAGGUAGGCGGAAUAAGUUAAGUAGCGGUGAAAUGCAUAGAUAUAACUUAGAACUCCGAUAGCGAAGGCAGCUUACCAGACUGUAACUGACGCUGAUGCACGAGAGCGUGGGUAGCGAACAGGAUUAGAUACCCUGGUAGUCCACGCCGUAAACGAUGCUCACUGGUUCUGUGCGAUAUAUUGUACGGGAUUAAGCGAAAGUAUUAAGUGAGCCACCUGGGGAGUACGUCGGCAACGAUGAAACUCAAAGGAAUUGACGGGGGCCCGCACAAGCGGAGGAACAUGUGGUUUAAUUCGAUGAUACGCGAGGAACCUUACCUGGGUUUAAAUGGGAAAUGUCGUAUUUGGAAACAGAUAUUCUCUUCGGAGCGUUUUUCAAGGUGCUGCAUGGUUGUCGUCAGCUCGUGCCGUGAGGUGUCGGGUUAAGUCCCAUAACGAGCGCAACCCUUACCGUUAGUUGCUAGCAUGUAAUGAUGAGCACUCUAACGGGACUGCCACCGUAAGGUGAGAGGAAGGCGGGGAUGACGUCAAAUCAGCACGGCCCUUACACCCAGGGCUACACACGUGUUACAAUGGCCGGUACAGAGGGCCGCUACCAGGUGACUGGAUGCCAAUCUCAAAAGCCGGUCGUAGUUCGGAUUGGAGUCUGUAACCCGACUCCAUGAAGUUGGAUUCGCUAGUAAUCGCGCAUCAGCCAUGGCGCGGUGAAUACGUUCCC